Molecule: ribosomal RNA, 396 nt
Filed under: uncultured bacterium
Lineage: Bacteria
Description: bacterial SSU rRNA
Rfam family: Bacterial small subunit ribosomal RNA
Source: RNAcentral
AAUAUUGGACAAUGGGCGAAAGCCUGAUCCAGCCAUGCCGCGUGAGUGAUGAAGGCCCUAGGGUUGUAAAGCUCUUUCACCGGGAAAGAUAAUGACGGUACCCGGAGAAGAAGCCCCGGCUAACUUCGUGCCAGCAGCCGCGGUAAUACGAAGGGGGCUAGCGUUGUUCGGAAUUACUGGGCGUAAAGCGCACGUAGGCGGACUAUUAAGUCAGGGGUGAAAUCCCGGGGCUCAACCCCGGAACUGCCUUUGAUACUGGUAGUCUAGAGUUCGAGAGAGGUGAGUGGAAUUCCGAGUGUAGAGGUGAAAUUCGUAGAUAUUCGGAGGAACACCAGUGGCGAAGGCGGCUCACUGGCUCGAUACUGACGCUGAGGUGCGAAAGCGUGGGGAGCAAAC